GAUUAACGCUGGCGGCGUGCAUAACACAUGCAAGUCGAACGAUGAAGAUUAUUAGACUUCUUCGGAAUGAAAAUAAUUGGAUUAGUGGCGGACGGGUGAGUAACGCGUGAGUAACCUGCCUUACACAAGGGGAUAGCCGUUGGAAACGACGAAUAAUACCCUAUGAAACUAUCACUUCGCAUGAAGCGAUAGUCAAAGUGUUAGCGGUGUAAGAUGGACUUGCGUCUGAUUAGCUAGUUGGUGAGAAAAAAGCCCACCAAGGCAACGAUCAGUGGCCGGCUUGAGAGAGUGUACGGCCACAUUGGGACUGAGACACGGCCCAGACUCCUACGGGAGGCAGCAGUGGGGAAUUUUGCACAAUGGGGGAAACCCUGAUGCAGCGACGCCGCGUGAUUUAGAAGGCCUUCGGGUUGUAAAAAUCUUUUGUAUAGGAAGAAAAUGACAGUACUAUACGAAUAAGGUCCGGCUAAUUACGUG
Molecule: ribosomal RNA, 477 nt
Filed under: uncultured bacterium
Lineage: Bacteria
Description: partial 16S ribosomal RNA
Rfam family: Bacterial small subunit ribosomal RNA
Source: RNAcentral